UGAAGUUGGAAGCGUCGGCGAAUCAACGAUGGAAAGUAUAAAGAUAGUUGUGAGGAGGAAGAGGGACCAAAUAGCAAAUGUAAAAGAGGGGAUUGGGGCAUUAAAUUAAAUGGUGGAUAGAUUGAGGGGCGGAUCAAAAUUAGGUUUCGGGAAGAAAGACAGAAAGAGAGGGCGUGUUUGGUCACAGGAAUUUGGAAUUGCUUUGUGGAGGCGAGGUUUUGACGAUGAGGAAGUUUGUGCAUUCGAGGGUUUCUAAUUUAUUUUUUUAUUUUUAAAUAAUGAAAAAAUAUAUUUGAGAAAUAGAAACAGAGAGAGAAAGAAAGAGGGAGGAUGAUAGAAUCUGGGAAAGGAACACGGAGAGAGAGCAAGAGGGAGACAGGGCAGACGUAAUAAAAAAUAAAUUAAAUUAAAAAAUUUUUGAAUUUUUUUUCUCUUACCGUUCUUUCCAUUUUCCUUUUUUUAUUUAAGAAGAUUUUCGUUUUUAUUUUUAUUAUUCGCCGCUGCCGUUUUGUACUUUUCCUUAAUGAGUUGGGCUAGCCAAUUGAAAUUAUGCAGGCCCAUAUAAGUGUUGGGCCCAAUUUCUGUUGCAGGCAAUUGAAGCAGGCCGCAGUAGUGAUGGCAAACUACAUAUAUAAAAUAAAAAAACACUACAAGUCCACAUAAAAUAAUAUGGAUUCCAAUAUAUAUAUAUAUAUAAUUUAUUUUUUACUUUAGUUUCAUUUAUGUUUUUUAAUUAAUUCUAUUAUGUUUUUCAUUUAACUUAUAUAUUUUUAUUUAAUUUUAAUUUAGUAAAUAAUUUAAUUAAAAAAUAAUGCGAUAUCCUUUUUUCGGCCGGAUCCGGAUUCGAAUUUGGAUAUGUACGGAUUCUAUAAUUUAGCAUAUGGAUCCACAUUUUUUAAUAUGCGGAUCCAAAUUUUUCCAUAUCUGAAUGUUCCAAAUCUUUGCGAAUUCAGACUGUACCCCGAUAUUUUUACCGUCCCCAGGCCGCAGCCUCAUUGCCUUUAUAUACUUUUUUGUCAUUUUAAAGCCAUAAAUUUAUUUCAGCUGUCUGCGUUUAUAAAAAUCCACAAUAAAUCAUAUGAUAAGAAAUUUUGAAAAUUUAGAUUUUGUUUAUAUUCUCUCACGGGAAUCAUAUCAUCUGAAUAACAUAAGUUCAUUUAAAACUUCGAACUGGAUCAAUUAAUUUAAAUAAAUUGGAUUGUAUUUAAUAGGAUUUUAAAUCAAAUAAUUAUUUUUAAUUACCAUUUCGAUUAUGAAAAUAAACAAACAAUUAAUGGAUGGUGCAGUAUCUUGAUUGAAAUGCCUUGAAGGUUUCUUGUUCUCCUUUUUCUGGAAAUAGCACUUUUGUUUUUCUCACUCUAAAUUGCUAAUUACAAGAAGAUUGUGAAACCGGCCAUAUUGUAAAUUUUGCCAAUGGCUAGGAAAGUCACUGUUGAGAAUGUCAAACUUGUGCUCCAAUGGUUCGACAUGAGCAGACCUUCUCAUAGAAAUUGAAGUACUUGACGCCUCUGACUGAUCAAGUCCCUCAGACAUAUCAAACUUUUGACCUGAAUCACUGCUUCCCAGGCCCUCUUCCCCACUAAAAUGGCUUGUUGAUGCAUCAGAGGUUCCUGACUCAGUUGGGAAGUUGUACAUUGGAAGCAUCGUAAAAAAGCUAACAGGUGGACCUGUGGGAUAAAAGGUCCAGGGAACAACCUCUGAAUUGUCCGGGGACCUUUGUCGAGCACCAUGACCUAAGAGGACAGGAGCAAUCGGAAUCACUGAUUCUGACCCACUUGUCUGAGCUUCUUCAGAUCCGGGCAUUUGAUGCCUUGGAAUAUGUAAAGGAGCAAGGGAUUGAAGUCCUACACUCCUGUCUGGUAUUUCAGACCCCAUGGUUGGAAGCAGAUUCCAUUCUUUGUUGUCUUCAUCAGCCUGAACAGAAGAAUUUUCUGACACACUACUACCUUUUCCAUACACUGGAGAAGCAGUAGAAGCCAUUUUUCUACCCCUUUCUUCUUUAGCUGGUUUUGAGACCUUUGCCGAUGAUCCUUCCCAAGAACUCUCAGAAUUGGUUUUACUUUUCACAGAACUUGUAUGUGAAGCAGGCAUAGAUCUUGAACUGGCAGAUCUGUCAUCAAAGUAAACCUCGUUACCUCUACUAUCUAGAUAAUGGAAAGAAUCUUCAUGAUCUUCCCUCAUUGACUCCCUGGCAUCUUUGUUGAAUUUAUGUGGAGCUCUUCUAGCACUGCCAGAGGCACCUAUCUGAGAUGAAGGAAGAAGGUUAUAACCAGCUGAAGUUGAUUGCUGCUUAUCGUCAGACUGAAGCAUCUCAAAAUUUCCAUUCUCAAGAUCAAAUCCGCCACCAGAACCCCGGUCCUGCUGAUGCCAGUAAUCAUUAUCACCCUCCAUAGGGUUCGUUUCCACAGGACCAAAAUUUUCAUUACCGCGUUCAAGUGAAUCUUCCGAGCUUGAGGUCAAUCCAACACCAGGAAAAAAAUGGGUUAAUGGUGAGGAAACCAAACUUUGGGGAAACUGCAUGUUGGCACCCGAUGCAGUCUCAAUGAAGGGAAGAUUGGUGGGAACCAUUCCACCCAAAUUUCUCUGAGAAUAUCCCAUUGAAGUUAGAAUUGAAUGUGGUAGAGGAAGAGGUAAGUGACCAGAAGCUAAAUUCAGUGGAAUGUGGACCUGUCCAUUAAAACCAUGAGCCAUGGAAGAUGCCAUCAAGUUCACAAGAUCUUGCUCUUCCUGUUGCAUCCCUUGUGUCCCUGCAACAGAAGAAAAUUCUUCACUCAUAGCACCCAAGACCAGAUCAUCACCGUAACUAUUAAACACACUGUUUGAAUCAGCAGUAGCAUCAAAGCUCUGACAGGAUGCAGUGUGACUAACAGAUGAAGGAUUGUCAGUUGAAGAUCUAAUGUCAUGGCUUGCCAAAAUAUCAGAUUCCAAGUUCUUCCUUCUACUAUUCUCCAACUUUGAAGAAGACAUCUGGCAUUUUACACUUUCUGGGGGUUUCUUAGGCCGCCCUUGGGAGGUAACUUCACCAUACGUGUCUGUAAGCUCGGGGCUAGAGCGUGUCCGUGCAAACAGAUAUCUACCCUUAAUGUCACCAAUCAUUGUAUCAGGUUUAAAACUUCUGUUACCUUUAUCAUUAUUUGCAUUCUGAUUAAUACUAGCAUCCCUUCUACCCUGAUCAAAAGCCCUGGUGCUAUUCAAGUUACCAUAGUUCUUUUGGGUUUGUGUACGAGAAACUGUGGAAACAGAACUGACCCUAAAAGUACUUUCAACAGGACUAUUAAUAUGCUGAGAUGAAGCACUACCAUGCGAUCUGUCAACUUGAGAUUCACAACCAAUGGAAAUCUCAUUUCUUUUGCCACCUAAACCUGAAUUGUUGUGGAGAUUCUCAGGCUCAUGUUGAUGGUCUCGAUUUGACAAUCGCAAGCGCCACAAGUCAUUCCUUGGUGCAUCCGGACGAAUGCCGCUACCAUGUCUAUCCCGGGUAUUCAUAAAAAACUGAUUUACUUCAUUAUAUAAGUCCUCAUUGGGACAAUCAAGUAACCUUGCCAGCCCUUUAGCCCUAAAUGUAAAUGCCGUGCGUAUCCUAAAGAAGUUACCUGGCCAAUUUAUAUAGACAGAAGGAAACAAAUUACAAAAUUUCAGAUAGUAGAAAAUCAGACCAAGAAUUACAAGCACAUGAAAAGCACUACAAUCUCAUAGCCGAUACUCCAUAUUUGUGCACCAAUAUAUUGAACUCAGACCAUAUAAAUGUAUUUGUGCAAGCUUAUAAGUAUAUGUUCCAUACCAUUUGCUUCACAGAUGCAGUGAAUUUUGCCAAAAUGUGUGAAGGUUAUCGACGGCUACACUAAAAAUAGGAUCAUACAAAGAAUAUAAAAGAUGUUUUGAGGUAAAAAUAGAUUAUUUGAAGGUUAUUAACAACUACAGUGGACUCAUUUAGAAUUCCAUCCCAAAGAAAAAGUGAAGCCAAUGAAGUCACAAACACAAAACACUUGUAAACAAAUAAAUUAUAUUAUAAAAGGUUAUCUUCAUCAUAAUGCCUAUUAAGCCCUUUACAUUUAUUAAAAAUAUUUAAAUAUAGAAACCCCAUAGUUAAUAUAAACAUAUCUAGGAUCAUCUGAGCGUGACACCUUGGGCGUAGCUCUGCUGGCCGCGUAUGCACUUUGCACCCACGGUCACCCAACUUUGAAUGAUAAUAUGGAAAGGGUUGAUGCGGGUAAGGUUCUCAUCCCCAUGUAUUUAUUCUGCUCUUGGUUUUAUUUCAUUUGUUAAAAGUAAGCACCACCACAAUAAGUGUGGGAGGGUUAGAAAAAGUCACAGGUAACUUCUUAGACAAUGCCCUUCUCGAGAAUAAAUCAACUACAAGAUACCAGAUGCAUAAAGUGAAUCAAUGGAGACCAACACAGGAGUUCACCUAGUAAAGAAGUGAAAUUUUCUAUUGUGAAGAAAAAUUAAGAAAGUAACCAAGCAAAAACAGAUUAAGAUGCCAUUCAUAGCAUACAAUCAUAAAAAGGUUAGGCAUAUAUGAAGCCACAACUAAACUAAAAUAUAACCUGCUUAUGCUAACCGACAUUGGAGCCCAAGCAGGCUACAAAAAAGAACCACAUGAAGACAGUUCAAAUUGCCACUGGAAAAUGGUAGGUAAGAAAUAAAAAUAAGCAAAACAUUAAAAAAUAGGAACAGGCAAUGUUUCAUAGAAUUACAAAGACCAUUCAAAAAAAAAAAGAAAGACAUUAAUUCAAAAUAAAAUUAAUAGUAUCACAUUCACCAUGCCAGAGGAAUGAACAGAUGAUAUCACAGUAUCGCAACAAAUAAUAAGCCCACAAAAGAAAUAGAACUGUAGUAUAUAGUUUGUCAAUGCACCUUUACUAACACUGCGCCCAAGGUUGUUGUUUACACGCAAAGGAUCGAUGACAUUAAAAUGUUUUGAAACAAAGGGUUGGCCCUGAUUUUCUUGGCCACCAGGAAAAACAGCAUAUGUAGAACUACAAGCAUCAAGAAACAAUUUGCUAAGAAGUAACACUCCACCAUCUUUUCGAGGAGGUUCCGCUGUAAAACAGACCAAGGGGAAACAUCAAGCUUGAUGAUCACUUAUGCGAGGAUCAAAAUUAGAAUUUUCAAGCAAAAUAUCUAUACCCGUUACAUCUGGAAGCAAACUGAUGGGUACAGGACCCCAAAGGCUUAGACAGAAGUUGUCCCAGUCAAACUUGCUAAAAAACUCUAGAAAACGAUAAAGGACCUACGAGUGGAAAGAUAAAAACUAUCAGACUACUAAAAGUACAAAUGUAUGAAAAUAGUGAGAAAAUGUUCACAUAGCCACCUCAAGCGGACCAGCAAAAGAACCAUUGAAAACAUGAAAUAUGUAAAGAACCAAUGUGACCAAGGCAUAAGAUGAUAUUAGUCCAUGGUGACCACCCAAUAUUCGGCUUUCAUAAUAACACCAAGCCUUUAUCAGUAUAAUGCUGCGCUUGAAAAGAUGAUUCUCAUUUAUCAAAUGAUCAACCUAUUUAAGCAGAGAAAAACAAUUAGCAAAUAAACAUAAUCAUCAUAAUGGAUUACAAUUUGAAAAGGAAACGUUCAAUGGCAAAGUUGAUGCACCACGGACCUCAUCAAGGAAACAAAGAGUGCAUAACCCACCAAGCUGGUUAAAUGCUAUGUCUACAACAAAAUUAUCGACAAGGCACUUUAUUAUCUUUACCUACAAAUAAUAACAGAAAAAGAAUGUUAAAUUCAGUACAAAACAAAAAACUUGAGGCAAAAUGGGCUUAUAUAGGUUACAUUAGAAUUUAUGCAGAAAAUCCACAAAUAAGAAUUUAGAUAACCAUAAUAACAGUAACGGUUUAGUGGACAAUCAAGCAUCUUCUCAGAUAAAUAAAUCACCACAAUCAGUCACAACGAAUAGCAUUGCAACUCUGAAACUAAAAUUUCAGGGGAUAAAUCCAAACUUAUCUCCAGUUAAAAUAAAUCACAAGUUUGAAAUUUGUAAAACUACAUCAGACGGAAAUUUUCCAUCAAAUAAUACAGGGCAUGAAUGGAAGACUAUGAGCCACAAUCUUUAGAAAACCAGGGUACGAUGAAACUCACUUCUGCCUGAAUGUACUGAACCUCCUUGACACGGAAUUCAGCAUGCUCAUUCUUCUCUUCAUUUUCCAACAUAUCAUGCACCAGAUGAGCCCAUGUGUCCUUCAAAGUUUGAUCAUCACUAAAAGCUCCUAAGUCAAUGUCCCUAUCUGGUAAAUAGGUCUUAAGGGGUACAGACCCAAAAGUAAAAACCUGUACACAAAAAUAAUCACUAGUGAAUAAUAACAUAAAAUAAAUGAAAAUGCAAAAGCUUAAAUGAUGCCAAUUUGUUCAACACCCCAUCACAUUCACUAAAUAUAGGAUGAUUGCAACUAUUUAUGCCUGUGUUUUGACUAAUAAGUUAAACCGGGAUAUACAACAUUAACAAAACUCAACAUAAUACAUGUUCAUUGGGUCGAAUCAAUAAAGCAACGCAGCAUAAACAAAUUCUCACACAUAUGUAAAAGUUGGCAACCUGACAAGGAAAGCAUUGGAUAAUGAGGCGCCGAACAUAAGCUGCAACAGCAUUGCGGCGUUCUUCGGAAAAGGGGUCGGGCUGAAUGCGGGCAAUAAGCUCUGCAGUUAUCUCCUCUGCCUUCAACCAUCGUCCCGGGUCAAGUGGUCGGAUCACUGAACCUGCUUCAUUGGGCAAUAACCCGUUUAAUAAUAGCCCACUUGGUGGCUCUCUCCGCCCUUCAUGCUCUCCCAUGCAAUCCCUUUAAUUUUCGCUUUGCUAAUCUUUACCCAAAAUGUCACCGCCACCGCCACCACAACUACUAAAACAACUUGCCGAUCAAACUAAGUUUCUCGAAUUCAAAGUCUAUCAGUUUUGUUUUUAUGCUUGAGUUUCAAUUAUUAUUAACCUUUUUCUUAAGUAAUAGUAAGAAGAAUUUUAGGUUUUGACAUUUAUAUAACCUAAAGAAGAAUACAAAAUUGUAAAUUUAUAACAAACUGAAUAUAUUAGUAAAGAAAAAGGAUAUGCUGAAACCCUGAAGAUAAAAAUAAGAAGCAGAUUAGUGAUACAGAUUGGUUGAGAUUUAUCAAAACCUAAGGAGAAUGUUUUGGAAGUUGGAAGCGUCGGCGAAUCAACGAUGGAAAGUAUAAAGAUAGUUGUGAGGAGGAAGAGGGACCAAAUAGCAAAUGUAAGAGAGGGGAUUGGGGCAUUAAAUUAAAUGGUGGAUAGAUUGAGGGGCGGAUCAAAAUUAGGUUUCGGGAAGAAAGACAGAAAGAGGGCGUGUUUGGUCACAGGAAUUUGGAAUUGCUUUGUGGAGGCGAGGUUUUGACGAUGAGGAAGUUUGUGCAUUCGAGGGUUUCUAAUUUAUUUUUUUAUUUUUAAAUAAUGAAAAAAUAUAUUUGAGAAAUAGAAACAGAGAGAGAAAGAAAGAGGGAGGAUGAUAGAAUCUGGGGAAGG
Molecule: long non-coding RNA, 7465 nt
Filed under: Citrus x clementina
Lineage: Eukaryota; Viridiplantae; Streptophyta; Magnoliopsida; Sapindales; Rutaceae
Description: Citrus clementina (C. clementina) long non-coding RNA (CCLE_LNC004708)
Source: RNAcentral